AACCCGAACUAAUAAAACUACGGCGUAAAGCGUGUUUAAUAUAUAAUCAUAUUAAUAAAGCCGAAUUAUAACUAAUCCGUAAAAAGUCUUAGUUACAGUAAGACCACUAACGAAAGUAGCUUUAAAUUCAAUGAUCCCACGACAGCUAAGACCCAAACUGGGAUUAGAUACCCCACUAUGCUUAGCCUUAAACCCAAAAAGUUAAAACUAACAAAACUACUCGCCAGAGUACUACUAGCCAAAGCCUGAAACUCAAAGGACUUGGCGGUGCUUUACAUCCCUCUAGAGGAGCCUGUUCUAUAAUCGAUAACCCCCGAUAAACCUCACCAAUCCUGGCCAAUU
Molecule: ribosomal RNA, 342 nt
Filed under: Furipterus horrens
Lineage: Eukaryota; Metazoa; Chordata; Mammalia; Chiroptera; Furipteridae
Description: partial 12S ribosomal RNA
Rfam family: Bacterial small subunit ribosomal RNA
Source: RNAcentral